Molecule: ribosomal RNA, 511 nt
Filed under: uncultured bacterium
Lineage: Bacteria
Description: bacterial SSU rRNA
Rfam family: Bacterial small subunit ribosomal RNA
Source: RNAcentral
GACGAACGCUGGCGGCGUGCCUAAUACAUGCAAGUCGAGCGGACUUAAAAAGCUUGCUUUUUAAGUUAGCGGCGGACGGGUGAGUAACACGUGGGCAACCUGCCUGUAAGACUGGGAUAACUUCGGGAAACCGGAGCUAAUACCGGAUAAUCCUUUUCUACUCAUGUAGAAAAGCUGAAAGACGGUUUACGCUGUCACUUACAGAUGGGCCCGCGGCGCAUUAGCUAGUUGGUGAGGUAACGGCUCACCAAGGCGACGAUGCGUAGCCGACCUGAGAGGGUGAUCGGCCACACUGGGACUGAGACACGGCCCAGACUCCUACGGGAGGCAGCAGUAGGGAAUCUUCCGCAAUGGACGAAAGUCUGACGGAGCAACGCCGCGUGAGUGAUGAAGGUUUUCGGAUCGUAAAACUCUGUUGUUAGGGAAGAACAAGUACGAGAGUAACUGCUCGUACCUUGACGGUACCUAACCAGAAAGCCACGGCUAACUACGUGCCAGCCGCCGCCGUAAA